Hordeum vulgare subsp. vulgare (domesticated barley) is the source of this 837-nucleotide long non-coding RNA. RefSeq lists it as uncharacterized. The record is from RefSeq and is a predicted model, not a curated record. Lineage: Eukaryota; Viridiplantae; Streptophyta; Magnoliopsida; Poales; Poaceae. The transcript has 3 exons.
CCACGCACACACAGGGAGAAAAAAAACCCCUAAAAAAAGAGUGAGGAAAAACACAGGCUAGCGCAAGCGGCAGGCGGCGGGGGCCCGGGGAGCCGGGGCGCCAAGGCAGGGCAGGACUUCAGCCCGCAGGAGCUCCCCGGCCGGCCGACCGGACCGCUACCUGGGCAUCUGGGUGCAUGCAUCGCCACAUCGGCCGCUGGAGGGCCAAGCCGCCAGAGCAUCACUAUAUGAUGUCAGUCGCUUGCUGGAAACCCGGGUUAGCAGCUGUGAAGACACUGCACCAGCGAUAGCAAUCAGUGGUAGUGAUGUUAGCAUGACAAGAGUUAGGAGCCAGCCUUUUGUGAAUGCUAUGAUAAAACCCCCAAAGAAGGCAGAUGCAAGUUGCACAAGCUUCCCUGCCUGUAAAUCAGAAUGUUCGAAUGUCAGAACCAGCAGCACUAGGUGGGCUGCAUAGAAUGUACGAACUUCUUUCUUUGGUACUACAAAUGAAGUAUUACCUUCUCACCAAGAGCAUCUUGAAUUAUGACCGUAUCGCUAGACAUUCUAGAAACUGCUUCACCAGUUGUCAUUUCUGUGUCGAAGAAUGCAAUAUCUUGUCUCAGAACAGAUUUCAGGUACAAAGAACGGAUGCGGGCUGACUGCCUUUCUCCUGCCAUUGUCCAGCAUGCCACCUCUGGAAGAAAAUGAAGGGAAACAUGCAUUCUAAGAAUUGGAUGGAAAUUCCACUUACGAAGAAAAGAAGCAACUGCUGUCCCAAUGCCCAGAUAUAUGAAGUUGAGAACAACCUGGAGAUAAAAAGAAUAUUCUCCAUUAGCUCGUCUAGCCAAGCCACCCUUC